GAUGAAGAACGCAGCGAAAUGCGAUACUUGGUGUGAAUUGCAGAAUCCCGUGAACCAUCGAGUCUUUGAACGCAAGUUGCGCCCGAAGCCAUUAGGCCGAGGGCACGCCUGCCUGGGCGUCACACGUCGUUGCCCCCCCAUCUACUCCUUCGGGAUUGCGGGGGGCGGAUGAUGGCCUCCCGUGCGCCUCGCCGCGCGGUUGGCAUAAAUGCCAAGUCCUCGGCGACGCACGCCACGACAAUCGGUGGUUGCGAAACCUCGGUUGCCCGUCGUGUGCGGUCGUCGCGCAUCGAGGGCUCGAAAAAAUUGCCGGGUUCCGGCUCGGCUUUCAACGCGACCCAGGUCAGGCGGGGUUACCCGCUGAAUUUAAGCAUAUCAAUAAGCGGAGGA
Molecule: unclassified non-coding RNA, 390 nt
Filed under: soil metagenome
Description: partial contains 5.8S ribosomal RNA, internal transcribed spacer 2, and large subunit ribosomal RNA
Rfam family: 5.8S ribosomal RNA (bases 1-122)
Source: RNAcentral